This 465-nucleotide ribosomal RNA is filed under the name uncultured Klebsiella sp. RNAcentral describes it as "bacterial SSU rRNA". It matches the Rfam family "Bacterial small subunit ribosomal RNA", at positions 338 to 795 of the family's 1533-position model. The record is from RNAcentral. Lineage: Bacteria; Pseudomonadati; Pseudomonadota; Gammaproteobacteria; Enterobacterales; Enterobacteriaceae.
CCUACGGGCGGCUGCAGUGGGGAAUAUUGCACAAUGGGCGCAAGCCUGAUGCAGCCAUGCCGCGUGUGUGAAGAAGGCCUUCGGGUUGUAAAGCACUUUCAGCGGGGAGGAAGGCGUUAAGGUUAAUAACCUUGGCGAUUGACGUUACCCGCAGAAGAAGCACCGGCUAACUCCAUGCCAGCAGCCGCGGUAAUACGGAGGGUGCAAGCGUUAAUCGGAAUUACUGGGCGUAAAGCGCACGCGGGCGGUCUGUCAAGUCGGAUGUGAAAUCCCCGGGCUCAACCUGGGAACUGCAUUCGAAACUGGCAGGCUAGAGUCUUGUAGAGGGGGGUAGAAUUCCAGGUGUAGCGGUGAAAUGCGUAGAGAUCUGGAGGAAUACCGGUGGCGAAGGCGGCCCCCUGGACAAAGACUGACGCUCAGGUGCGAAAGCGUGGGGAGCAAACAGGAUUAGAUACCCCGGUAGUC